GAGUAGGAAUUGGAUCUCAGAUUUUUUGGGUACUGUCUCACCGCUGGGAUAAAUACACUGAGAAAGCAGCUUAGGGGGCAAGGGUUUGUUUUUGUUCACAGUUCCAGAGGGACCCAGUUAGUUCGUCACAAUGGGAGAGGCAGGACAGUAGGCAAGGGUAACAUGGUGGCAGGAACAGAAAGCUGGCUGGCACACUGCAUUCUCACUCAGGAGCAGAAAGUGGGCUGAGAUGUAAAGCCUCCCGGACCUACUUCGUCCAGUGAGGCUCUUACCUCCUAAAGGUUCCACAGCCUUCCCAAAUGGGACCACCAGCUGAGGAGGAAGCGUUCAGACACAUGAGCCUAUGGGGGGCAUUUGACAUUCACGUCAUAACAGCAAGUAUCACACAGAGAAAAGAAAAUCACAUACGGGAAGCUUACAGAGGGGCUCCUUCAUGGAGCAGGACGCUGACGAAGGGUGCCAAGUGUUUGGAUUUCAGUAGAAGGCAGGAUGACUGAAGCUUGGAGCAGUAAAGGAGUGCCUCGAAUUCACAUGGUUAAUCAGAGCUGAGAUCUGCACCCAGGCAGGCUGAGCUCAGGAGCAUCCCUCUGCUCUGCUGGGCCUCAUGUAUAAGUCAUCAUCAGCUGAUCAAGUUUUCUGGAACCCGAGACUGCCAGCUUGGCUGGUCCAAGUUCUCCUUCCCCUCUGCCUAUGCUCCUGACGUGCCACCCUCCAUCACGCCGUUCUUCACAGUGUGGUCAACAGGGUUUAUUCAUUGUUUCGUGCCUCUUUCGGCCUUGGCCACCUUCAGACGUCAGUGAUUCCCGCGCACAAUGCAGUUUCCGCUCGACCGACCACACCGUUCCACAAGGGGGCACUGUCUGACCGUAAAGCCGGGGAGGUUCUUGCCUGCAGGCUAAAAUACAGCCCGCGUCACCCUAAUGCUUUCAUUCUGUUAUAAGAAAUGACCUUAUUCAAGCUACAUGCCUCAUUGUUAUUUCACGGAGAGGAAACAAAAGCAAAAAAGGAAACCAUAUAAUGUUCGUGGACUGCUUUACCAUAAUUCAUUCACUGGGUUUCUGUUAGGCUGUAUGGAAUCCAUUAAGCAGGAUAUUGAAGCUUAUGAAUGGAAAA
Molecule: non-coding RNA, 1113 nt
Organism: Peromyscus maniculatus bairdii (prairie deer mouse)
Lineage: Eukaryota; Metazoa; Chordata; Mammalia; Rodentia; Cricetidae
Source: RefSeq, a predicted model, not a curated record